ACACAAUGUGAGCUAUAGUUAAGCCUGCAUAAGUAAUUCUAAUGUAAAGACUUGUUUUUCAGCUGCUUGCGUCUUUCAAGCAUUGGCCUUCUAGUCUUACCCUUGACUGGUAGAAGCUUUGUGGUGUUGAAGUGCUCAAGGCCACCUCACAGAAUUCAUUUUUGUUGAUAACCAUGCCCAUUAUUAAGGGAAAAAAAUAAGAAUUAAUUAAAUUUAGUUGAGGAACAUUAGUGAUGUCUUGAUAGGGAAACGAAAGGGCAAAACAGUAUUUCUAAACCACUUUAUCCCAAAGUUAAGGAAAAUCCUUUGUCAUCACAGAGACUUCCCCAAAUUUCCAUUUCCUCUUUAUGCAGCUUAAAUCACCCUGUUGAUGAGAUCCAGCCAAAAGUGCCUUUUAGUGCUGCAUUCUGGCCAGCUUUGUCCAAGUGUAACUGAAGAGUUGGCACCUCCAAUGGGAAGAGCCAGGGAGAAAGUACCAGCAAAAUAAACACACUGGAAUUGUGAAAACUUGUCUUACGUUUCUGGAAAAAAACAGGUUACAUCUGCUUAAGAGUGAUGCAGAAACUCCCCACAAGCCAAGACCAACAUCUUUUCAGAUUUGGAUAACUCGAGUCUGAAGAAGUGUUGCUGAGGUUUGGAAAUGCAGCUGAAAAUGAAGUGAACACCCAUGCACAGCAAUGUCAAACCAAUGGCCCUACAAUAUUCAAAAAUGCAAAAAAAUACAACACACUUAGAUGAAUUAAUCAAGAAAAGAUCAACUAAUGGCUCUUAAACACAACCAUCCAGAUUAAGACCCAAAGCAGGAAGUUCUGAUGCUGCUGGGUUGGGAGGGUGUGCUAGCAAAGGAUGGCUGUUUCCAGGUGGACAUCCUUAAAGCCUCCACAGAAUUGUUUCCAGUGAACAUCUCUCCUGUGCUGCAGGGUUUGCUAUCCCAUACUGUGGUUAUUUAAAGCAUGCACAAGGUUGUCAGGGUAAUGGAGUUUGAAGUGACAUGCCUGGAGUUGGCAGAUACAUUUCAGGCACCCCUACACUCUUCUACCCCUUAAUUUAAACUGUGUUCAAAGUGGGCAUGGUCCCUGCAGCACAAUCCAAGUGUGCUACCUUCCGUGGGAAUUUCAUUCCCUGGCCAAGCAGGCCAUUACCAAAUCCAGAUAGUGAGUUGUAUGUACAGCCAAAUGUUGACCAAGAUUCAGAAAAUUAAUUAUAAGUAACUUCAAUCAGGGAGGAACAGACACAAGGAGGGGUACACACAUAUCAGGGCUUAUUCCCAUAGGAUUUUUUAAAAAGAAAUCAGCAACAACUUCAGAGGCAGAAUAUUGAAAACUAGUUUGGAAAAUUAAGACCAUUAAAAUACUUUGAGCUCAAGCAUAGAAAUUAUAAAUUAUUCCUUAAAUUUGUUUGCAACAUGUUUCUUGGAUUUCAAGUGACACAAGAAACACAAAGUCAUAUGAUACUUGCAAAUAGAAUAGACUGCCUGAAAGUGGCAAAUUCAUGUUAUUCUUUUAUAAAUGCUCCAUAGAAAGUGGAAAGCUUGGAAGUUAAAGGGAAAUUACAGUGGUCUGAGGAUACAUACAACUGAAUAAUUAUGAACUCCACUGAAAAUUAUUCCAUUGAAAACCAAUUAACAGCCUUGUCUAUACAUCUCUUUCAAAAGCCUGGUAGUAGAAAUGUCUCUUUUGGUAUUGAUUUCCAUUGACUCUCAUACACUUGCCUGCCAUGUAAGCUAUUUAAGUAAAUGAUUUUUUUUUCCCAGGCUCCACUUUUGAACAAUAUUGAAGUGUUAAAACAUAGCAGCAUUGUCUAUUAAACCAAAAUACCCUAUUAAUAACAUUGAGUACCGUGCCUCUGUAUAAAACACAAAGAAAGUGUGUGCAUUUCCACAUGGUUUUACACACAUCCUUUUUCCUGAGUGUA
Ficedula albicollis (Collared flycatcher) is the source of this 1914-nucleotide long non-coding RNA. The record is from Ensembl. Lineage: Eukaryota; Metazoa; Chordata; Aves; Passeriformes; Muscicapidae.